Molecule: ribosomal RNA, 440 nt
Filed under: uncultured bacterium
Lineage: Bacteria
Description: partial 16S ribosomal RNA
Rfam family: Bacterial small subunit ribosomal RNA
Source: RNAcentral
CCUACGGGUGGCAGCAGUGGGGAAUAUUGCACAAUGGCGGAAACCCUGAAGCAGCGAAGCCGCGUGAGUGAAGAAGGAUUUCGGUGUGUAAAGCUCUAUCAGCAGGGAAGAAAAAGACGGUACCUGAUUAAGAAGCCCCGGCUAACUACGGUCCAGCAGCCGCGGUAAUACGUAGGGGGCAAGCGUUAUCCGGAUUUACUGGUGGUAAAGGGGUCGUAGACGGCAGCACAAGUCUGGAGUGAAAUGCCUGGGCUUAACCCCAGAUCUGCUUUUGAAACUGUGCAGCUAGAGUGCAGGAGAGGUAAGUGGAAUUACUAGAGUAGCGGUGAAAUGCGUAGAUAUUAGGAGGAACACCAGUGGCGAAGGCGGCUUACUGGACUGUAACUGACGUUGAGGCUCGAGAGCGUGGGGAGCAAACAGGAUUAGAUACCCUUGUAGUC